AACGAACGCUGGCGGCAUGCCUAACACAUGCAAGUCGAACGAGACCUUCGGGUCUGGUGGCGCACGGGUGCGUAACGCGUGGGAACCUGCCCUUAGGUUCGGAAUAACUCCCCGAAAGGGGUGCUAAUACCGGAUAAUGUCUUCGGACCAAAGAUUUAUCGCCUUUGGAUGGGCCCGCGUUGGAUUAGCCAGUUGGUAGGGUAAAAGCCUACCAAGGCGACGAUCCAUAGCUGGUCUGAGAGGAUGAUCAGCCACACUGGGACUGAGACACGGCCCAGACUCUUACGGGAGGCAGCAGAGGGGAAUAUUGGACUAUGGGCGAAAGCAUGAUCCAGCAAUGCCGCGUGAGUGAUAAAGGCCUUAGGGUUGUAAAGCUCUUUUACCCGGGAUGAUAAUGACAGUACCGGGAGAAUAAGCUCCGGCUAACUCCGUG
RNAcentral lists this ribosomal RNA (433 nucleotides) under uncultured bacterium. Its description in RNAcentral is "partial 16S ribosomal RNA". It matches the Rfam family "Bacterial small subunit ribosomal RNA", at positions 29 to 507 of the family's 1533-position model. The record is from RNAcentral.